CCCUUAGAUGUUCUGGGCCGCACGCGCGCUACACUGAUGCAUUCAACGAGUUUCUUCCUGGUCCGAGAGGAAUGGGUAACCUUUUGAAAGUGCAUCGUGAUAGGGAUAGACUAUUGCAAUUAUUGGUCUUCAACGAGGAAUUCCUAGUAGACGUAGUUCAUCAGACUGCAUCGAUUACGUCCCUGCCCUUUGUACACACCGCCCGUCGCUCCUACCGAUUGAAUGCUCAGGUGAGCCAUUCGGACUUUCAUCAUGCUGGUUUCAAGUUUUGAUGAAGGAAAGUCUUGCGAACCUUAUCAUUUAGAGGAAGGAGAAGUCGUAACA
RNAcentral lists this ribosomal RNA (324 nucleotides) under uncultured eukaryote. RNAcentral's name for it is "partial 18S ribosomal RNA". It matches the Rfam family "Eukaryotic small subunit ribosomal RNA", at positions 1470 to 1796 of the family's 1831-position model. The record is from RNAcentral.